RNAcentral lists this ribosomal RNA (257 nucleotides) under uncultured bacterium. RNAcentral describes it as "partial 16S ribosomal RNA". It matches the Rfam family "Bacterial small subunit ribosomal RNA", at positions 524 to 777 of the family's 1533-position model. The record is from RNAcentral.
UACGUAGGGAGCAAGCGUUGUCCGGAUUCACUGGGUGUAAAGGGUGCGCAGGCGGAUUUGUAAGUCAGAGGUGAAAAUCUCACGGCUUAACCGUGAACCUGCCUUUGAUACUGCAGAUCUUGAGUUUGGGAGAGGUUGAUGGAAUUCCAGGUGUAGCGGUGAAAUGCGUAGAUAUCUGGAAGAACACCAGUGGCGAAGGCGGUCAACUGGCCCAUAACGUGACGCUCAGGCACGAAAGCGUUGGGGAGCAAAGCAGG